UACGGGGGGUGCGAGCGUUAAUCGGAAUUACUGGGCGUAAAGGGUGCGUAGGUGGUUUGAUAAGUUAUCUUAGAAAGACCUGGGCUUAACCUGGGUAUAUGAGAUAAGACUGUUAGACUUGAGUAUAGUAGAGGGUAGUGGAAUUUCCGGUGUAGCGGUGAAAUGCGUAGAUAUCGGAAGGAACACCGGUGGCGAAGGCGGCUACCUGGGCUAAUACUGACACUGAUGCACGAAAGCGUGGGGAGCAAACAGG
RNAcentral lists this ribosomal RNA (253 nucleotides) under uncultured bacterium. Its description in RNAcentral is "partial 16S ribosomal RNA". It matches the Rfam family "Bacterial small subunit ribosomal RNA", at positions 524 to 776 of the family's 1533-position model. The record is from RNAcentral.